RNAcentral lists this transfer RNA (71 nucleotides) under [Bacteroides] pectinophilus. It matches the Rfam family "tRNA". From Rfam's summary of the family: Transfer RNA (tRNA) molecules are approximately 80 nucleotides in length. Lineage: Bacteria; Bacillati; Bacillota; Clostridia; Eubacteriales. RNAcentral also lists the same sequence under 2 other names. The record is from RNAcentral.
GGGGUAUAGCUCAGUUGGGAGAGCACCUGCCUUGCAAGCAGGGGGUCAAGGGUUCGAAUCCCUUUAUCUCC